GGGGGUGUAAAGGUUUCGACAUAUAUAAGCGAUUAUUUAAUGCAGUGGUCUGGUAAACCAUAAAUACUUCUAGGCUUUUCUAAAUGGAAAAGAAAAAACAAACGAAGACUACAGCGCUUUAGCAAUGAAUUCUUCAUUUAACUUAAAUCCUUCUUUCGCUUAAUAUUUAGCGGUUGGUCUUGUAGCAUUCUUCCCAAAGUGCUACAAUGUGGUAUUGGGAUAUGUAAAAGGACUCAGUUAAAUUUUGCAGAACUUCAACUGGACAAAUUAAACAACUGUUUGUAAUUUUAAGUUUUUAAUUUGUUGAAUAUAAAAAUUACUAAACUGUAGAUUUAAAUAAUAUGUUUAUGUGUGGACCCGGGUUCGAUUCCCGGCAUCUCCACCA
RNAcentral lists this transfer-messenger RNA (385 nucleotides) under Mycoplasma iguanae. It matches the Rfam family "transfer-messenger RNA". From Rfam's summary of the family: Bacterial tmRNA, also known as 10Sa RNA or SsrA, is named for its dual tRNA and mRNA-like properties. Its role is to liberate the mRNA from a stalled ribosome. RNAcentral also lists the same sequence under 1 other name. The record is from RNAcentral. Lineage: Bacteria; Bacillati; Mycoplasmatota; Mollicutes; Mycoplasmatales; Mycoplasmataceae.